GCCCCCAUAGCUCAAUGGAUAGAGCAAUCCCGUCCUAAGGGAGAGAUGGAGGUUCAAUUCCUUUUGGGGGCACAA
This 75-nucleotide transfer RNA is filed under the name Candidatus Zambryskibacteria bacterium RIFCSPLOWO2_12_39_8. Its description in RNAcentral is "tRNA-Arg". It matches the Rfam family "tRNA". Rfam says of the family: Transfer RNA (tRNA) molecules are approximately 80 nucleotides in length. Their secondary structure includes four short double-helical elements and three loops (D, anti-codon, and T loops). Further hydrogen bonds mediate the characteristic L-shaped molecular structure. tRNAs have two regions of fundamental functional importance: the anti-codon, which is responsible for specific mRNA codon recognition, and the 3' end, to which the tRNAs corresponding amino acid is attached (by aminoacyl-tRNA synthetases). tRNAs cope with the degeneracy of the genetic code in two manners: having more than one tRNA (with a specific anti-codon) for a particular amino acid; and 'wobble' base-pairing, i.e. permitting non-standard base-pairing at the 3rd anti-codon position. The record is from RNAcentral. Lineage: Bacteria; Candidatus Zambryskiibacteriota.